RNAcentral lists this ribosomal RNA (442 nucleotides) under uncultured bacterium. RNAcentral's name for it is "bacterial SSU rRNA". It matches the Rfam family "Bacterial small subunit ribosomal RNA", at positions 360 to 793 of the family's 1533-position model. The record is from RNAcentral.
AAUAUUGCACAAUGGGCGCAAGCCUGAUGCAGCCAUGCCGCGUGUAUGAAGAAGGCCUUCGGGUUGUAAAGUACUUUCAGCAGUGAGGAAGGUGGUGCAGUUAAUAGCUGUAUCAUUUGACGUUAGCUGCAGAAGAAGCACCGGCUAACUCCGUGCCAGCAGCCGCGGUAAUACGGAGGGUGCGAGCGUUAAUCGGAAUUACUGGGCGUAAAGCGCAUGCAGGCGGCCUGUUAAGUCAGAUGUGAAAGCCCCGGGGCUUAAACCUCGGAAUUGCAUUUGAAACUGGCAGGCUAGAGUCUUGUAGAGGGGGUAGAAUUUCAGGUGUAGCGGUGAAAUGCGUAGAGAUCUGAAGGAAUACCAGUGGCGAAGGCGGCCCCCUGGACAAAGACUGACGCUCAGAUGCGAAAGCGUGGGGAGCAAACAGGAUUAGAUACCCUGGUAG